AGGGUUCGAUCAUGGCUCAGGAUGAACGCUGGCGGCGUGCCUAACACAUGCAAGUCGAGCGAAGCGAUUCGGAUGAAGUUUUCGGAUGGAAUCCGAAUUGACUGAGCGGCGGACGGGUGAGUAACGCGUGGGUAACCUGCCUCAUACAGGGGGAUAACAGUUAGAAAUGACUGCUAAUACCGCAUAAGCGCACAGUACCGCAUGGUACGGUGUGAAAAACUCCGGUGGUAUGAGAUGGACCCGCGUCUGAUUAGCUAGUUGGUGAGGUAACGGCUCACCAAGGCGACGAUCAGUAGCCGACCUGAGAGGGUGACCGGCCACAUUGGGACUGAGACACGGCCCAA
This 344-nucleotide ribosomal RNA is filed under the name uncultured bacterium. Its description in RNAcentral is "bacterial SSU rRNA". It matches the Rfam family "Bacterial small subunit ribosomal RNA", at positions 8 to 334 of the family's 1533-position model. The record is from RNAcentral.